RNAcentral lists this long non-coding RNA (560 nucleotides) under Ursus maritimus (polar bear). RNAcentral describes it as "lncRNA (ENSUMAG00000003602.1)". The record is from RNAcentral. Lineage: Eukaryota; Metazoa; Chordata; Mammalia; Carnivora; Ursidae.
CUUGGUCCCGGCUGGAAUUGCGCCAAGGAAGUGGGCGCGGGCUCGGGGAGCGGGGGGGAGAUUUGGGUAGGCGUGGAUCGGGGUAGUGUCAAAAGCUACAGUGACCCUCCUCAACUUGGGUCCGUGAGCCCGGGACGGGCGGGAUCCCGGGACUACGUUCUUGCUGGUGUCGCGCUGCAGGUGUCGAGCCUGGUGCCAGUGCGAGCCAAGUGGUGGACAACAAGGUGAGGAGUGUCGUCGGGGUGUGGAAAGAGAACCAAGCUUUAAUGAAGGUCUGACAUGUUCCAGGUGGAGUGGUACCUGCUUUUCCAAAGAUCUCUGUCUUCACGCAAAGGCUGCAGAAAAUGACCAAGUUCCAGGAAUGUGUUGUUGCAGGGACCAGUAUCAUUCAAGGACGUGGCUGUGGAUUUCACCCAGGAGGAGUGGCAGUAUCUGGACCUUCCCCAGAGGGAUCUGUACAGGGAUGUGAUGCUGGAGAACUAUAUCAACCUCAUCUCUGUGGGUGAGGACCGCUUCCCAGUGCUGAUUGGCGUGUACCCAGUUAACAACUUUUCCUUUUU